UUGCAGCCAGUUAAGCCUACUGUGCUCUUUUCUCCAUGGGGGCCUGGUGUGCGGCUGCAAACAGUGGCCUCCUCGGUAGCAUAUGCAGCCUGUUGCCUGUACCGCUUGCCCCAAGGGAACUUGGAGACAGCU
Molecule: small nucleolar RNA, 132 nt
Organism: Delphinapterus leucas (beluga whale)
Lineage: Eukaryota; Metazoa; Chordata; Mammalia; Artiodactyla; Monodontidae
Gene: SNORA70
Rfam family: Small nucleolar RNA SNORA70
About the family: snoRNA U70 seems to be exclusive to mammals and is a member of the H/ACA class of snoRNA which contain H (ANANNA) and ACA box motifs. H/ACA box snoRNAs are involved in the conversion of uridines to pseudouridines (5-ribosyluracil) a constituent of structural RNAs (transfer, ribosomal, small nuclear, and small nucleolar).
Source: Ensembl